This 483-nucleotide ribosomal RNA is filed under the name Triticum aestivum (bread wheat). RNAcentral's name for it is "partial small subunit ribosomal RNA". The record is from RNAcentral. Lineage: Eukaryota; Viridiplantae; Streptophyta; Magnoliopsida; Poales; Poaceae.
AUGGACAUGCACAUGGUGCCUUGCGACACCUCACACGCGGGUCCAAACAACCGACUCAUGGGCGUCUCACCGGACAACCGGCUCUUCUUAAUGUAUUAUUGUUUCAUGGGAGCGCGGCUGGGGAAGCUUGUGUUGAAGCUAACCUAUCUCGAGUUUUCCAAUGAAGAUGACAUGCAAACUGGCAAGAUAUGUAGAAAACGCAAAAUUGUGUUGAUGGAGCAAAUGGGGAAACUGAUGAUGGUGGUGACUCGCUAUGUCCACACAAUCAAGUUGUGGUGGUUUGGCGAGAAGAGCGGCAUCCUGUUGUUCACAAUGGGAGAAGGGAGCGGGCAACCUGGCACCUACAUGUUGAAACUUGAGGAGACAACAUUUGCCAGGUCCGGCGAUGAUGGUCACUUAUGGAAAAACUUGCUCGGGUACGAGAUGGAUAUGACGGCGUACCUUACAUCGUUCAGCUCAGGCAUAUAUCCUUCAAACGAGUGA